Molecule: transfer RNA, 67 nt
Filed under: Wiebesia pumilae
Lineage: Eukaryota; Metazoa; Arthropoda; Insecta; Hymenoptera; Agaonidae
Description: tRNA-Val
Source: RNAcentral
AAAGUUUUAGUUUAAUUAAAAUAUUUUUUUUACAAGAAAAAGAUAAAAAUUUAAUUUUUAAAUUUUA